RNAcentral lists this ribosomal RNA (417 nucleotides) under Salmonella enterica. RNAcentral describes it as "partial 23S ribosomal RNA". It matches the Rfam family "Bacterial large subunit ribosomal RNA", at positions 1273 to 1690 of the family's 2925-position model. The record is from RNAcentral. Lineage: Bacteria; Pseudomonadati; Pseudomonadota; Gammaproteobacteria; Enterobacterales; Enterobacteriaceae.
CUGGAGGUAUCAGAAGUGCGAAUGCUGACAUAAGUAACGAUAAAGCGGGUGAAAAGCCCGCUCGCCGGAAGACCAAGGGUUCCUGUCCAACGUUAAUCGGGGCAGGGUGAGUCGACCCCUAAGGCGAGGCCGAAAGGCGUAGUCGAUGGGAAACGGGUUAAUAUUCCCGUACUUGGUGUUACUGCGAAGGGGGGACGGAGAAGGCUAUGUUGGCCGGGCGACGGUUGUCCCGGUUUAAGCGUGUAGGUGUGUGUUCCAGGUAAAUCCGGUUCACUUUAACACUGAGGCGUGACGACGAGGCACUACGGUGCUGAAGCAACAAAUGCCCUGCUUCCAGGAAAAGCCUCUAAGCAUCAGGUAACAUCAAAUCGUACCCCAAACCGACACAGGUGGUCAGGUAGAGAAUACCAAGGCGCU